This 253-nucleotide ribosomal RNA is filed under the name uncultured prokaryote. RNAcentral's name for it is "partial 16S ribosomal RNA". It matches the Rfam family "Bacterial small subunit ribosomal RNA", at positions 525 to 777 of the family's 1533-position model. The record is from RNAcentral.
ACAGAGGGGGCAAGCGUUGUUCGGAAUUACUGGGCGUAAAGGGCGCGUAGGCGGCCUGCUAAGUCGAACGUGAAAUCCCCGGGCUCAACCCGGGAACUGCGUCCGAUACUGGUAGGCUUGAAUUCGGGAGAGGGAUGCGGAAUUCCAGGUGUAGCGGUGAAAUGCGUAGAGAUCGUGAGGAACAUCUGUGGCGAAGGCGGCCAUCUGGACCAGCACUGACACUGAGGCACGAAAGCGUGGGGAGCAAACAGGA